UAAUACGUAGGCAGCGAGCGUUGUUCGGAAUUACUGGGCGUAAAGAGUGUGUAGGCGGUCGUCUAAGUUCGGUGUGAAAUCUCCUGGCUUAACUGGGAGGGUGCGCCGGAAACUGGAGGGCUCGAGCGUGGGAGAGGAAAGCGGAAUUCCUGGUGUAGCGGUGAAAUGCGUAGAUAUCAGGAGGAACACCUGCGGUGUAGACGGCUUUCUGGACCAUUGCUGACGCUGAGACACGAAAGCGUGGGUAGCAAACAGGAUUAGAUACCCUGGUAGUCCACGCCCUAAACGAUGCAUACUUGGUGUCGGCCAUUCAGUUGGUCGGUGCCGGAGCUAACGCGUUAAGUAUGCCGCCUGGGGAGUACGGUCGCAAGGCU
This 374-nucleotide ribosomal RNA is filed under the name uncultured bacterium. Its description in RNAcentral is "bacterial SSU rRNA". It matches the Rfam family "Bacterial small subunit ribosomal RNA", at positions 521 to 895 of the family's 1533-position model. The record is from RNAcentral.